Ictidomys tridecemlineatus (thirteen-lined ground squirrel) is the source of this 404-nucleotide non-coding RNA. The record is from RefSeq and is a predicted model, not a curated record. Lineage: Eukaryota; Metazoa; Chordata; Mammalia; Rodentia; Sciuridae.
CCUCCGUAUGCCCACGAGGAUUAAUGACAUGGCAUUAGCACUGAUAAUCAUAAUGAAGAGAGCUGUCUGAGAGUAGGGCAACCCAACCCUGAUGUUCAGGAGGAAACCAGAAUUUCAAAAGGCCUCCCCAGUGACUUGAAUUUGAAGAGAGCUGCAGGGUCGUAGCUCAGUGGAAAGCUUAGCAUGACAGUGAAGUCCCUAAGCAGGGACUACUCUUUUCAAAUAAGGAAACCUAAAAAUAAAAGCUGUCUGCAGCUGGGACUGUGUGCCAAGACAACUAUCACUGAAAUGCAGAGGCCAAGAAAUCUACUCUGAUGCCCUUCUUCACCUGUCACAGAGCCAACCCUUGGAGGUUCAACAACAACACUGCAAAUUAUUCCUCCUGAUAAUGAAGUAAGAUACAG